GGAUGUAAGGGCAAUGUGGCUUUGGCAUUUUGUCCCACUCUUCAUAAGGGUUGUCUGUCUCGUUAGGCAGGAAUCUCCUUCCUCAACAGUCUGUGUGCAUCCCUUCCUAAACCGAACAUCCAGUUGAAGAGGACAACCUUACCUGAUUAAGAAGGACCAUUCUUCUGUCAAGGACACAUAAGUAGCUCCCCUGCUAGAACUGCCAAACAAGCUCCCUAUCCUCCUAAGGCUCUGCUCCUUGAGGCUGGUUCUGCCCAGGACCCAGGUGCCAGCAGGCAACCCUUUACA
Molecule: small nuclear RNA, 288 nt
Filed under: Microtus ochrogaster (prairie vole)
Lineage: Eukaryota; Metazoa; Chordata; Mammalia; Rodentia; Cricetidae
Description: 7SK RNA (ENSMOCG00000009721.1)
Rfam family: 7SK RNA
About the family: 7SK was discovered as an abundant small nuclear RNA in the mid-70s but a possible function has only recently been suggested. Two independent studies have found that 7SK RNA binds the CDK9/cyclin T complex (known as elongation factor P-TEFb).
Source: RNAcentral